This 217-nucleotide long non-coding RNA is filed under the name Mytilus galloprovincialis (Mediterranean mussel). The record is from RNAcentral. Lineage: Eukaryota; Metazoa; Mollusca; Bivalvia; Mytilida; Mytilidae.
UAAAUCAAAGUUGAAUAAGUUAUAUGACUCACUUUUAGCUGAAGAAGCAAAACCCUCUCAAAACUGCUCUAUAAUAAAUACAAUUAAGGACGAAAUAAUAGCAAUUGAAACAAAAGAGAAAAUAGGUACAUUAAUCAGAUCACGUGAGUGUUUUUAUAAAGAAGAUAUCAAAAAUAUCGAAAUCUUUAAAAUAGCAGAAGAAAAAAGAGGCACAAAG